Molecule: ribosomal RNA, 255 nt
Filed under: uncultured bacterium
Lineage: Bacteria
Description: partial 16S ribosomal RNA
Rfam family: Bacterial small subunit ribosomal RNA
Source: RNAcentral
UACAGAGGGUGCGAGCGUUGUCCGGAAUCACUGGGCGUAAAGGGCGCGUAGGUGGUGGCUUAAGCGUGCGGUGAAAGCUCGGGGCUCAACCCCGAGUCGGCCGUGCGAACUGGGCUCACUGGAGCAUAGUAGAGGCAGGUGGAAUUCCGGGUGUAGCGGUGGAAUGCGUAGAGAUCCGGAAGAACACCGGUGGCGAAGGCGGCCCUGCUGGGCUAUGGCUGACACUGAGGCGCGACAGCGUGGGGAGCAAACAGG